This is a non-coding RNA of Pelobates cultripes (western spadefoot toad), 1282 nucleotides long. Lineage: Eukaryota; Metazoa; Chordata; Amphibia; Anura; Pelobatidae. The record is from the annotation of a GenBank genome assembly.
AACGAUUCCAUCAUGUUAUAUGUUUUACUGUUGUGUGGCCAUGUGAUUUGUGCAGAUAUGCUGACAACGUUUGCAGUGUGGUUUGUUUCAGGGCAUGCAGGGUGUUGAACCAAUUAUCAUUAAUCAUGUUAUCUGCUGAUAUUUUUUCAUAGGAGCCCUUAAACAGGUGGACGCAGGGGGUAAUGUAUUCCUAGGAGGUGUGAACAACGCUGAUAACAUUUUUUGCCUAAGCCAGGAUCUCACUCUUUCCAAGGGGACAUCUCUCCCUUUCAUACUACUUGAUGGAAGAUUGAAGUAUUAUAGCUGUGGUCGUUAUAGUUGCUGGGGAGUGAACAGCAACAAUGAUAUAUUUUAUCGUCUGAACGUUAGUCCAAAUGAUUGCAAAGGCAGUGAAUGGAGACAGGUGGAUGGGAACAUGAUUAUGGUGGAAGUUGCCACAGAUGGAUCAGUGUAUGGAAUCAACACCAUUGGCAACGUAUACAAAAGGUAAAUCUUUUAGUAGCAAUAAUGAAAUAGGGAAUAUAUACAUUAAAUAUAAUUAUGUAUCAAUUAGUGAACUAAGUCCCCCAAUUACCUAUUGAUUAAUUCCAUUCAGGAGCUUAAAUGCAUAAAAAAAAUGUAACAUAUAUUAAAAAUAUCUGAAAUUAAUUUGCUUUUCAAGCAUAGAUUAAAAAACAAAAAAAAAUAUCAUCAAUGUAUAUUCAUAGCUAGAUACAAAUGUGUUCAUUGUAUUCUGGACAUGGCAGGAUUGGUUGUAGGUUUAGUGUGUAGUGUCACCUAAAAGGUAAUCCAGGCAUGAUGGAGUAGGAGUCUAGACAAAGAUAAUUAUAAUUAAUAAUUGUUCUUGUCUUUUUCCCACAGAGAAGGGAUUUCUUUUUCAAACCCAGGUGGAACUGAGUGGGCUCUGUUGAAUGUAUACGGUCCCUUUAAGCAUGUCUCAUAUGAUAACGGAGUGCUAUGGCUUCUUAAUUCAGAAGGAAGUAUCUUCAAAUGUGACAUCAACUAUUAUUCAUAAGCAUCAAUUAACACAUCGCCUUUCUAUUACUAUCACUGAAUCUGUAAUCCUCUACUGUCUACUAGAGAUAACAAGCAAAGUAAAUCCUCUGUGAGUCCAUCUUCAUUGUGAGCUUUUAAUAGCAGUGAUGAGAUAUUUGUCUGCUUUGGUGUGUGCGGGUUCUCAAAUAAAACUAUUGUAGAACUUUUAAAAUGUCUAUGAUUUUCAAAUAAUCAGUAGAACAUUGCUAUCAAUAAAUGUAUAAAAUCAGCAUCAAUAAAAUGUAUG